AAAAAUAAUUACAAUGCAACAAUUUCAAGUUUCAGCUCAACUCUCAACUUGGUUUGUCAAGUUCUGUACUAAUGGAAGAUCAUCAAGCCAGUCACCAUAGAUACGAUUUAUUUUCUUGGGUCCUUUCCACUUCAACAAGCAUUUCUUACUCUGCGCUUCUUCAAUGACAUUAGGCACACUUGCAGUCGUACUUGGAGAUGCAUUAUUAGCAAGAACAGGUGGUUUGGUCAAAAUUGAGCCUGCAUUUUCCCCUUCAGCACGUCCUCCAGGAACUUUUAACUCAGCUUGUCCAUGAGCAAAGUGACA
Molecule: unclassified non-coding RNA, 306 nt
Filed under: Hevea brasiliensis (rubber tree)
Lineage: Eukaryota; Viridiplantae; Streptophyta; Magnoliopsida; Malpighiales; Euphorbiaceae
Source: RNAcentral